UGAAUUUAUCUGAUUAUUUUUACGUACUUUACGUGAAGUAGUUCCGUAUGCGUGUGUAACCAAACUACCGGUUCGGUUUAAGCAGCCAGCUUUGGUGCUUUUACUCCUCUCGGGCUGUUUAAACCCACAUUCGGCAGACAAUAUGAGGUAAGAAUCAUGUAUGAGAUGCUGUUUGUCCUUAGUGUUCCUGCUGCUGAUUCAGAAAGGAGAUUAAAGCUGCCGUAGGAGACGCCGUCAUCUUACCAUGUUCAAACAGUGAUAAGGCACUGCUGGGCAAACUGACUGCAUUCUGGAGAUUCAGAGACAGCAGCACCGUGUACGACAUCAUUGAGAGCAGAGCGUUGUUGGAUGACCAGGACGCGUCGUUCAGAGGCCGAGUUGACAGCUUUCCAGACGAGUGGACUCGAGGAAACUUCUCCAUCAAACUCAGCAGUGUGAAGAAGACGGACGGAGGAACGUACAAGUGCUUCAUUCCUGCUAUCAACACUCAAACGACAGUAUAUCUGACUGUUACUGAGACACUGAGACCUCCUGAAGUUCCAUCUGAGACGAAGAGCAAGAAGGUUCAAAUGAGACCAGACAACCUUCUGCUUUUUUCUACACUUCUGUUGGCGUUUUUUUUCUGUAUGUCUCACCAGUGAGACUCCAACUGCAACUCCACACUAUUUACUUUUUUUCUUGAAUAUAACACUGACAAACAUCUAAAAAUGCAUUAAAAAAAAAUGAAACACUUGUAACCAUGCCCACAAAAGCUUUAAGAACUGUCCCUUCCGAAACACACAUUUUCUGUAAUUAAGUAAACUUUUUGUGUGUCAAUAAAAAACUGUUCAAAUCUGCGUCUGCUGGUCAUGCACUAGUUAGCGUAUUUGAGUUCCAUUCAAAAUGAGCUAAUAUUGUCUCUUCUGUAACAGUCAGUACUGAAACAUU
This is a long non-coding RNA of Colossoma macropomum (tambaqui), 927 nucleotides long. RefSeq lists it as uncharacterized. The transcript is spliced from 4 exons. The record is from RefSeq and is a predicted model, not a curated record. NCBI's taxonomy places the organism in Eukaryota, Metazoa, Chordata, Actinopteri, Characiformes, Serrasalmidae.